RNAcentral lists this ribosomal RNA (370 nucleotides) under uncultured bacterium. Its description in RNAcentral is "bacterial SSU rRNA". It matches the Rfam family "Bacterial small subunit ribosomal RNA", at positions 434 to 793 of the family's 1533-position model. The record is from RNAcentral.
CAGUAGGGAGGAAGGUAGUGUAGUUAACACCUGCAUUAUUUGACGUUACCUACAGAAGAAGCACCGGCUAACUCCGUGCCAGCAGCCGCGGUAAUACGGAGGGUGCGAGCGUUAAUCGGAAUUACUGGGCGUAAAGCGCAUGCAGGCGGCCUGUUAAGUCAGAUGUGAAAGACCCGGGGCGUUAACCUCGGAAUUGCAUUUGAAACUAGGCAGGCUAGAGUCUUGUAGAGGGGGGUAGGAAGUUUCAGGUGUAGCGGUGAAAUGCGUAGAGAUCUGAAGGAAUACCAGUGGCGAAGGCGGCCCCCUCGGACAAAGACUGACGCUCAGAUGCGAAAGCGUGGGGAGCAAACAGGAUUAGAUACCCUGGUAG